This 200-nucleotide unclassified non-coding RNA is filed under the name soil metagenome. RNAcentral's name for it is "partial internal transcribed spacer 2". The record is from RNAcentral.
ACGGUUAGAAGCAGGUCCUUUCCCGAGCGAAACCCAAGACGUAGAAACAUCUUAUCAACGUCGAGGAUCUAGCAAAGCGGAUCCCACUGAUAGAUUUAAGAGGAGCUGGCUUCACAGAGGAAGCCAGCAGAAAAACCUCCAAAUUCCAAGCCUACUUGGUUCGAUAGAACGAAGCAGGUUGAGGAUGUUCACGACACUCA